AAUACAGAAAUUACAGAGAGAGCACCAGAGGCGAAGGAGAAGGAGGUGGAAAGUUGGAAACUUUGGAGUCGAUCCGAAUUGGUGUGUAUCGAUUCGUAUGGUGAAAGGUAUCCCACUGUAGAAAAGAAAAUGCGUAGAAGAUAUUAUUAAAAUACAAACACAGAAAGGAAGAGGAGGAAUGGCCGUACUCCUUCCUUGUUGGUAUUCAUGAGAAAAGCUUGAGAGAGAGAGAGAGAGAGAGAGAGAGAGAGAGAGAGAGGGAGGGAGGGAGGGGACGCAGCUGCUGCGACUCUGUCGGACGCCGUGGUACUAGCUGAGAGAUAUUAUUAGUAGAGGUAGAGAUUGUUCGACUCCAUAUCGGGUGUAUAUUGGUUGGUCUAAAUGGAUCCGUUGGGUGAAGAGCAAAUAGAUUAUGAAGAUGAGGAAUAUGGAGGGGCUCAUAAGCUUCAGUAUCAGGGAAGUGGAGCCAUCUCUGCGCUUGCAGAUGAAGAACCGAUGGUCGAAGAUGAUGAGUUCGAUGAUCUCUAUAAUGAUGUUAAUGUUGGAGAGGGUUUCAUGCAGAUGCACCGGUCCGAAGCAUCACUCCCAACUGGUGGUGUUGGCAAUGGAGGACUCCAAGCACAGAAAACUGAUGUUCCUGAACCAAGAGUUCAAGCUGGUGUGUCUCAGGACCUGAAAAUUCCUGGGGUUUCAGUUCAAGGGAAGUAUUCUGGUGCUGGGGCCCAGUUUCCAGAACAGAAUCAACCACCAGUGGCGAAGGAGCCAGAACUGGGAUCCACAGAUUAUGUGAGUGGGGCUUCUGGAUCACAGAAGGGGAGGGUUAUGGAGAUGACUCAUGAUCCUCAAGUCAGACAUAUGGCGUUCCAGGGGUCAACAACUAUGCCCCCAAAUGUCGGUGUCGAUUCUUCUGAUAUUACUGGAAAAGGUAAUAGUGAGUUUGUUCCGUCUCUGAAUCCUGCCAGUGCUGGCCCUCCAGGAGCUACACAGAUACUGACCAAUCAAAUGAGUAUCAAGAUAAAUGCUAAUCGUCCAAUGGUUAAUGAAAACCAAAUCCGACCACCAAUUGAGAAUGGUUCGGCCACGCUGUUUGUGGGAGAACUACAUUGGUGGACAACUGAUGCUGAGAUUGAAAGUGUUAUAUCUCAGUAUGGGAGGGUCAAGGAAAUUAAGUUUUUUGACGAGAGGGCCAGUGGUAAAUCCAAAGGUUAUUGUCAGGUUGAGUUUCAUGAUCAAGCUGCUGCCACGGCAUGCAAAGAAGGGAUGGAUGGUUAUGUUUUCAAUGGAAGAGCUUGUGUUGCGGCUUAUGCUUCCCCGCAAACCUUGAAACAGAUGGGAGCUUCUUAUUUGAGCAAAUCCCAAGGUCAGGCUCAGGCUCAGCAACCAGGAAGAAGGCCCAUGAAUGAUGGUGGUGGGAGGGGGGGAGGUGUGAAUUUUCAAGCUGGAGACCCAGGAGGUAGGAAUUUUGGAAGGGGUGGAUGGGGACGAGGUGGACAGGGAGUAAGAGGUCCUGGAGGUGGAGGACCAAUGAGGGGAAGAGGAGGGGUCAUGGGUGCGAAGAACAUGGUUGGGAAUCCUGCUGGUGUUGGAACUGGUGCUAAUGGAGGUGGCUAUGGACAGGGCCUUGGAGGUCCUGGAUUUGGUGGUCCUGUAGGAAUGAUGAAUCCACAGGGUAUGAUGGGUUCUGGAUUUGAUCCAACAUAUAUGGGUCGAGGAGGUGGUUAUGGAGGGUUUCCAGGUCCUGCUUUUCCUGGAAUGCUUCCUCAAUUUCCUGGUGUUAAUACAAUGGGACUUGCCGGGGUGGCUCCUCAUGUAAACCCAGCUUUCUUUGGCAGGGGAAUGGCAACUAAUGGGAUGGGGAUGAUGGGUUCUUCCGGAAUGGAGGGACACCAUGCAGGGAUGUGGAAUGACCCAAGCAUGGGGACCUGGGGAGGAGAAGAACACGGUCGAAGAACUAGGGAGUCAAGUUAUGGUGGUGAUGAUAAUGCUUCUGAGUAUGGAUACGGUGACACAAAUAAUGAGAAAGGACCAAGGUCAAGUGCUGCCUCGAGGGAAAGAGAAAGGGGAUCUGAGCGUGACUGGUCAGGAAACUCUGAGAGGAGGCAUCGUGAUGAUAGGGAACAAGACUAUGAAAGGUCUGAAAGGGGGGAGCAAAGGGAGCAUCGGUACAAGGAAGAAAAAGAUAGUUAUCGAGACCAUCGGCAGAGAGAUCGUGACGGGGGUUAUGAGGAUGACUGGGACAGAGGUCAGUCUUCUUCAAGACCUCGUAGCAGGUCCAAAGCUGUGCCAGAGGAUGAUCAUCGGUCUCGAUCAAGGGAUGUUGAUUAUAAGAGGAGACGAUUGCCAUCUGAGUGACAGAGUUAGAUCAUUACAUUCUAUGGCAGGUCUUUGAGACUGCAGAAUAUAAAUUCUGACUAUUACUAUAUGUAGCUUUUGAUACGGUCAGUGAAUCUGCAUUCUUCUUCUGGGCUUCUACGGGCCUACUGCCUACCAGCAAGCGUCGCUUCUUGAAGGAGAAGGAGUAGAGUGGGCAACUCCUUCAUUUCAUGAUUGAAUCAGCCUGUGCUGGUCACAUGGUGGAAGAUGUGUUACAUGGAUGCGUUGCCAACUAUGCAAAAGAAAAGAGUGUCCUCGAACUAGUGAAAUAUUUAAAGGAGACUUGUCAUUGUGCAUGUAACAACUUAAUGUCUUUGUGUAAUUGUAGACUUCAUGUAUUAGGUCCACUUGUAAUCCCCCCUUCUUUUGUUUCUAUGCCUGUAUUAGGAUUUAGGCUUAGCAACGAGCUUGUAAAAGUCAUGUACAAUGUGCUUAGUUGUACAUGUUCAGCGUGUUGUAAUUGUUGUUGCCUGCGCUGUGCGCUAUAGGGAGUUAGGAUUGAGCCAUUGAUAUGCUGUAACAAGAAGCCACCAUGCUAAAUCGUAAUUAGUCAUAGUGAUAUUUGUACAAACCAGUUUCUGCUGAAGCCACUUCCUGUAAAGAAUCUUACUUCCUGUGUGUAAUAUGUAACUGUGAGUUGUGUUUGGGUUUAGGGGUUGUGAGUAGCAGCUGCGUUGUAAAUGGGUUGGGACGGAAACAGUUGUUAAGACUAGGGUUUGUUUUUCUCUUCAGGGAGACAUAUUCUGUGCCCCUUGUGUACAUUUUUUUGGACGUAGUUUUGUACUUCAGAGAUUUCAUGUUGUCGAUUUCUCAACAAUGUAUCAUUUAGUUAGGUUGUCUGAAAUAGUUGUUUAGACAAGUUGUAUUGUUUCUCAACAAUGUAUUUUACAAAUUUGGUGUAUAGUCAUGUUUAGUGUAUGAGAAGCUGCAUCAUUCUUGAAGAAGGCAUUCACUGGAGGAGAUUUGAUUUACACGUCUUCCUGCCGGCACUACUUUCUUUGCUGUAUCUUGAUUCUGUUAGUAUACAGUAAUUCUGCACAUACCAUGUAGCCCUGCUGCUGUUUGAGCUCUGCCAUUGUAAUUUUCGUUUCAAGCUUCGUAGUUGGCUAUUCAAUUUGGAGUAUUGAAACUCUAGGUGCGAUUCAGAGUUGAUAUAAUAAUGUCACAAGCGGAAAGCCGCAUUUCUUUUCAGAUUAGUCUUUUGAGCUAUAGCUUUUAUCUUCAAGCUCUGUUUGUCAGUACGCAGUAGUUGAGGCCGUUCAUGUCGGUUUUUCUGUUGCGUCAUAGUUCUUAGCUGCAACUGUUAAUUCACAGAUGGUCUUUCA
Molecule: RNA transcript, 3698 nt
Organism: Malus domestica (apple)
Lineage: Eukaryota; Viridiplantae; Streptophyta; Magnoliopsida; Rosales; Rosaceae
Source: RefSeq, a predicted model, not a curated record